RNAcentral lists this ribosomal RNA (440 nucleotides) under uncultured bacterium. Its description in RNAcentral is "partial 16S ribosomal RNA". It matches the Rfam family "Bacterial small subunit ribosomal RNA", at positions 338 to 795 of the family's 1533-position model. The record is from RNAcentral.
CCUACGGGAGGCUGCAGUAGGGAAUAUUGCUCAAUGGGGGAAACCCUGAAGCAGCAACGCCGCGUGGAGGAUGAAGGUUUUCGGAUUGUAAACUCCUUUUGUUAGAGAAGAUAAUGACGGUAUCUAACGAAUAAGCACCGGCUAACUCCGUGCCAGCAGCCGCGGUAAUACGGAGGGUGCAAGCGUUACUCGGAAUCACUGGGCGUAAAGAGCGCGUAGGCGGGAUAGCAAGUCAGAUGUGAAAUCCUAUGGGUUAACCAUAGAACUGCAUUUGAAACUGUUAUUCUAGAGUAUGGGAGAGGUAGGUGGAAUGCUUGGGGUAGGGGUAAAAUCCGUAGAGAUCAAGAGGAAUACUCAUUGCGAAGGCGACCUGCUAGAACAUAACUGACGCUGAUGCGCGAAAGCGUGGGGAGCAAACAGGAUUAGAUACCCCUGUAGUC